This 430-nucleotide ribosomal RNA is filed under the name bacterium. Its description in RNAcentral is "partial 16S ribosomal RNA". It matches the Rfam family "Bacterial small subunit ribosomal RNA", at positions 355 to 776 of the family's 1533-position model. The record is from RNAcentral.
UGGGGAAUAUUGGACAAUGGGCGCAAGCCUGAUCCAGCCAUGCCGCGUGUGUGAAGAAGGCCUUUUGGUUGUAAAGCACUUUAAGCGAGGAGGAGGCUACUUGGAUUAAUACUCUAGGAUAGUGGACGUUACUCGCAGAAUAAGCACCGGCUAACUCUGUGCCAGCAGCCGCGGUAAUACAGAGGGUGCGAGCGUUAAUCGGAUUUACUGGGCGUAAAGCGUGCGUAGGCGGCUUCUUAAGUCAGAUGUGAAAUCCCUGAGCUUAACUUAGGAAUUGCAUUCGAUACUGGGAAGCUAGAGUAUGGGAGAGGAUGGUAGAAUUCCAGGUGUAGCGGUGAAAUGCGUAGAGAUCUGGAGGAAUACCGAUGGCGAAGGCAGCCAUCUGGCCUAAUACUGACGCUGAGGUACGAAAGCAUGGGGAGCAAACAGG